This 540-nucleotide ribosomal RNA is filed under the name Preussia sp. C44. RNAcentral's name for it is "eukaryotic LSU rRNA". The stretch from base 199 to 352 matches the Rfam family "5.8S ribosomal RNA". The record is from RNAcentral. Lineage: Eukaryota; Fungi; Ascomycota; Dothideomycetes; Pleosporales; Sporormiaceae.
GUGAAGCGGCAACAGCUCAAAUUUGAAAUCUGGCUCUUUCAGGGUCCGAGUUGUAAUUUAGGGCUUCGGCCCUGUCGAGAUAGAACCCUUGCCUUUUUGAGUACCUUUUCGUUUCCUCGGCAGGCUCGCCUGCCAAUGGGGACCCCCAAAAACACUUUGCAGUACCUGUAAACAGUCUGAACAAACUUUAAAAAUUAAAACUUUCAACAACGGAUCUCUUGGUUCUGGCAUCGAUGAAGAACGCAGCGAAAUGCGAUAAGUAGUGCGAAUUGCAGAAUUCAGUGAAUCAUCGAAUCUUUGAACGCACAUUGCGCCCUUUGGUUUUCCUUAGGGCAUGCCUGUUCGAGCGUCAUUUAAACCUUCAAGCUCAGCUUGGUGUUGGGUGACUGUCCGCUUGCGGACUCGCCUCAAAUGAUUGGCGGCCGGUACUUUUGGCUUCGAGCGCAGCAGAAACGCGAACUCGAGGCCUGUGUGCUGCAUACCAGAAGCUAUCUUCACAAUUUUGACCUCGGAUCAGGUAGGGAUACCCGCUGAACUUAA